GACGAACGCUGGCGGCGUGCUUAACACAUGCAAGUCGAACGGAAAGGCCCGGCUUUGGUGUUGUGCUCGAGUGGCGAACGGGUGAGUAACACGUGAGUAACCUGCCCUGUACUUUGGGAUAACUUCAGGAAACUGGGGCUAAUACCGGAUAGGAGCUCCUGCUGCAUGGUGUGGGUUGGAAAGGUUCGGCGGUUGGGGAUGGACUCGCGGCUUAUCAGCUUGUUGGUGGGGUAGUGGCUUACCAAGGCGUUGACGGGGAGCCGGACUGAGAGGGUGACAGGCCACAUUGGGACUGAGAUACGGGCAAGACUCCUACGGGAGGCAGCAGUGGGGAAUAGUGCACAAUGGGCGGAAGCCGGAUGCAGCAACGUCGCGUGGGGGAUGACGGCUGUCGGGUUGUAACCCGUUUUCGCCUGUGACGAAGCGUGAGUGACGGUAACGGGUCAAGAAGCACCGGCUAACUACGUG
RNAcentral lists this ribosomal RNA (468 nucleotides) under uncultured bacterium. RNAcentral describes it as "partial 16S ribosomal RNA". It matches the Rfam family "Bacterial small subunit ribosomal RNA", at positions 28 to 507 of the family's 1533-position model. The record is from RNAcentral.